RNAcentral lists this long non-coding RNA (461 nucleotides) under Struthio camelus australis. RNAcentral's name for it is "lncRNA (ENSSCUG00000015992.1)". The record is from RNAcentral. Lineage: Eukaryota; Metazoa; Chordata; Aves; Struthioniformes; Struthionidae.
UACCGUUUCAUCUCUUGCAAGCUCAGUUCAUAGUUCCUAUUUGUUAACUGGAACUCAGCUACACAUAGAGGCUUUAUGCUGGGGGAUCUCUCUAAGAGGUAGGAUGAAACAGUGCCUGUCCCAAAGAACUUACAGGAGAGGAUGUUGGUCUUAUGCAGACGUUCAGGUUGAGGUAUCUGUUCAGCUGGCUCUUCACGGGGUGUAACAAGAUGAAAAGUCCUUUGCCGCAGCCUGGUGUUGCCUUUCAUGGAGCUCUCCAGCGCAGCUCUUUCCAAAAGUUGCAGGGCACCCAGGGGCCGUGUAAGGUGCUCCCUCGAGUGUCAUCCUACUUCAGCAGGCCUUGGCAAUGGCAGGAACGAGUAAAGGCUAUCUGUGCCCUGUGAUCGGCAGGACAGGUAUCAGCUCACCUCCUUACGCAGCCUGAGGCAGCUCUCAGAGGUUUUCACAGACAAGUCUUUUGG